UGUCAACAAGAGUUGUUGCUGGCCCUCANACGAGGGCAUGUGCACACUCUGUUUUCAUCCACUCACACCUGUGCACCCCUGCAGUUCUACGGUCUGGGAGACCCCGUCUUCCUUCUGUGGUCCUGUGUCUUUACACACACACUGUAACAUGGUCUUAUGGAAUGCAUGCAGCGUUUAACGCAAUACAAUACAACUUUCAGCAACGGAUCUCUUGGCUCUCGCAUCGAUGAAGAACGCANCGAAAUGCGAUAAGUAAUGUGAAUUGCAGAAUUCAGUGAAUCAUCGAAUCUUUGAACGCACCUUGCGCCCUUUGGCUAUUCCGAAGGGCAUGCCUGUUUGAGUAUCGUGAACACCUCAACUCUCAUGGUUUACCAUGAUGAGCUUGGACUUUGGAGGUUUUGCUGGCUUACAGUUGGCUCCUCUCAAAUGAAUUAGCUUACCGGUGUAUGGUGAGCGCCACGGGUGUGAUAAAUAUCUGCUCUUGUGGUGGUACACCAGAUAACCUUCAGCAACUGGAGGUUCGCUGGGGCUUAUAAAUGUCUCUCCUUGUGGAGACGGCCUUCUGAACGUUUGAUCUCAAAUCAGGUAGGACUACCCGCUGAACUUAAGCAUAUCAAUA
Molecule: ribosomal RNA, 619 nt
Filed under: uncultured Tomentella
Lineage: Eukaryota; Fungi; Basidiomycota; Agaricomycetes; Thelephorales; Thelephoraceae
Description: eukaryotic LSU rRNA
Rfam family: 5.8S ribosomal RNA (bases 192-346)
Source: RNAcentral